AGUGAACGCUGGCGGUAGGCCUAACACAUGCAAGUCGAACGGCAGCACAGUAAGAGCUUGCUCUUACGGGUGGCGAGUGGCGGACGGGUGAGGAAUACAUCGGAAUCUACUUUUUCGUGGGGGAUAACGUAGGGAAACUUACGCUAAUACCGCAUACUACCUACGGGUGGAAGCAGGGGAUCUUCGGACCUUGCGCGAUUGAAUGAGCCGAUGUCGGAUUAGCUAGUUGGCGGGGUAAAGGCCCACCAAGGCGACGAUCCGUAGCUGGUCUGAGAGGAUGAUCAGCCACACUGGAACUGAGACACGGUCCAGACUCCUACGGGAGGCAGCAGUGGGGAAUAUUGGACAAUGGGCGCAAGCCUGAUCCAGCCAUACCGCGUGGGUGAAGAAGGCCUUCGGGUUGUAAAGCCCUUUUGUUGGGAAAGAAAAGCAGCAGGUUAAUACCCCGCUGUUCUGACGGUACCCAAAGAAUAAGCACCGGCUAACUUCGUG
This 492-nucleotide ribosomal RNA is filed under the name uncultured bacterium. RNAcentral's name for it is "partial 16S ribosomal RNA". It matches the Rfam family "Bacterial small subunit ribosomal RNA", at positions 29 to 507 of the family's 1533-position model. The record is from RNAcentral.